AGCUUCUGUGCAUCCCCUGCGCCCUCCCUUCUUGCCGCUCCGGUGUUCUCUCAUGGAUCCACUUGAGGUCCCCGAAUGGAUCGAUGAGAACAAUGCUUGCAGAGUAGUGAUUGAUGUCUUAUCUUUCUCAACUAUUGAGGAUGAUCGAUCUGUGUACCGGAAGGGUAGAUCUUUGGAAUGGUGGGUAGAUUUAGACGAGUACUCCAUCAUAGACAUGGAAAAAGAUGUGCAGCAACACUUUAGUUGGGCAAUUAAUCAGGAGGCAAAAUUUUGAUUUGCGGAUCAGAAUGGGCAAACAAGUCGUCUUGCUAGUGAUCAACAACUUCUAGCCUUGUUGCGGGCUUCAAAAGUUGUCAAGUUCUUCAUGACUGUUGAUUGAUGUGUCCAUACCAGUGUGAAUGAAACGGAGGGUCAAAGCCAAGUGAUAAAGGGUGAUGUGCAGGUUGAAGGCACAAGUAAGGGAAAUGAGUUGUUUGACUCAAAUCAAGGUGUGCUUGUAGAAUACCAAGGCAAAGAAUGGGCAGAGGACCCAGAACUCGGGGUUACAGCAGCAGGUCCUAAUAGAGUACAGGAGGAGGAGGACCACUAUAUGGAGCUUGGUUUUGACCCUGAGGGAGAUGAACCAAUUGGAGCAGAUGAGGAAUGGAGAUAUUUCAAGAGGCAUGAAAAGGUACCAGAAGGAAGAAGUAAUGAGAAAGUGCAGCAGGAAGGAAGGAGUAGAGUGGAGAAUAAAGGGUCAGCAUAUGAAGGUACAGACUCUGAUGUUGUUCCAAGUGAUGAAGCCACUAUGAUUGGUGAUGCCCCAUAUUUUGCACACACUACAUAUGACAGAGACAACCCUGACAUAAAA
This is a long non-coding RNA of Panicum virgatum (switchgrass), 850 nucleotides long. RefSeq lists it as uncharacterized. The transcript has 2 exons. The record is from RefSeq and is a predicted model, not a curated record. NCBI's taxonomy places the organism in Eukaryota, Viridiplantae, Streptophyta, Magnoliopsida, Poales, Poaceae.